GACGAACGCUGGCGGCGUGCUUAACACAUGCAAGUCGAACGGAAAGGCCCUGCUUUUGUGGGGUGCUCGAGUGGCGAACGGGUGAGUAACACGUGAGUAACCUGCCCUUGACUUUGGGAUAACUUCAGGAAACUGGGGCUAAUACCGGAUAGGAGCUCCUGCUGCAUGGUGGGGGUUGGAAAGUUUCGGCGGUUGGGGAUGGACUCGCGGCUUAUCAGCUUGUUGGUGGGGUAGUGGCUUACCAAGGCUUUGACGGGUAGCCGGCCUGAGAGGGUGACCGGCCACAUUGGGACUGGGGUACGGCCCAGACUCCUACGUGAGGCAGCAGUGGGGAAUAGUGCACAAUGGGCGGAAGCCUGAUGCAGCAACGCCGCGUGCGGGAUGACGGCCUUCGGGUUGUAAACCGCUUUCGCCUGUGACGAAGCGUGAGUGACGGUAAUGGGUAAAGAAGCACCGGCUAACUACGUG
This 468-nucleotide ribosomal RNA is filed under the name uncultured bacterium. Its description in RNAcentral is "partial 16S ribosomal RNA". It matches the Rfam family "Bacterial small subunit ribosomal RNA", at positions 28 to 507 of the family's 1533-position model. The record is from RNAcentral.